UCAUACAGAUUUAUUGGAGGA
RNAcentral lists this non-coding RNA (21 nucleotides) under Caenorhabditis elegans. Lineage: Eukaryota; Metazoa; Nematoda; Chromadorea; Rhabditida; Rhabditidae. The record is from RNAcentral.